GUGUUCACUUCGGCAGCACAUAUACCACAAUUGGAACAAUACAGAGAUUAGCACGGUCCCUGUGCAAGGAUGACGUGCAAAUUUGUGAAGCAUUAAAAAAGAAA
This 104-nucleotide small nuclear RNA is filed under the name Ursus americanus (American black bear). Lineage: Eukaryota; Metazoa; Chordata; Mammalia; Carnivora; Ursidae. The record is from RNAcentral. RNAcentral also lists the same sequence under 2 other names.